This 433-nucleotide ribosomal RNA is filed under the name uncultured bacterium. Its description in RNAcentral is "bacterial SSU rRNA". It matches the Rfam family "Bacterial small subunit ribosomal RNA", at positions 29 to 507 of the family's 1533-position model. The record is from RNAcentral.
AACGAACGCUGGCGGCAGGCCUAACACAUGCAAGUCGAACGCCGUAGCAAUACGGAGUGGCAGACGGGUGAGUAACACGUGGGAACGUACCCUUUGGUUCGGAAUAACACAGAGAAAUUUGUGCUAAUACCGGAUAAGUGCGAGAGCAGAAAGAUUUAUCGCCGAAGGAUCGGCCCGCGUCCGAUUAGCUAGUUGGUGAGGUAAUGGCUCACCAAGGCGACGAUCGGUAGCUGGUCUGAGAGGAUGAUCAGCCACACUGGGACUGAGACACGGCCCAGACUCCUACGGGAGGCAGCAGUGGGGAAUAUUGGACAAUGGGCGCAAGCCUGAUCCAGCCAUGCCGCGUGAGUGAUGAAGGCCCUAGGGUUGUAAAGCUCUUUCGCCAGGGACGAUAAUGACGGUACCUGGAUAAGAAGCCCCGGCUAACUUCGUG